GCUGAACUAGCUCCCAAAUGGACACAUAUUCCAAAAUAACCUGCACCGAACAACAUUAAAGAGGCAUAGGGCGAUCAGCUCAAGGGAGGACCCGUUCAGCCAAAUUAUCUGUCCUGAAGAGAGCUCUUCUCCCAUCUCCCACCUGCACUGUGACGGAAGCGUGAAACAUAGCAGGGCAAAGCUCAUCAGAUGGUCCAGGUAUGGAUGCGGACUUGAUGAUAUUUCUGAAGGAGAACAAAUACAAAUAGAUCUUAGAUCGAGCCCUUAAAAAGUUUUGAAGAUUACGAAGUAUAAAGGUU
Panicum hallii is the source of this 299-nucleotide long non-coding RNA. RefSeq lists it as uncharacterized. NCBI's taxonomy places the organism in Eukaryota, Viridiplantae, Streptophyta, Magnoliopsida, Poales, Poaceae. The record is from RefSeq and is a predicted model, not a curated record. The transcript is spliced from 3 exons.